RNAcentral lists this long non-coding RNA (237 nucleotides) under Vigna radiata. RNAcentral's name for it is "long non-coding RNA (VRAD_LNC002921)". Lineage: Eukaryota; Viridiplantae; Streptophyta; Magnoliopsida; Fabales; Fabaceae. The record is from RNAcentral.
GGCUAGUGUACUAGAUCGUGCAAGUAAUAUAAUCGGUAAUACCCAAUAUCGUUCUUCCCAAGAGACUCGAAAGGCUCGUUCGUGUGAAUCAAAAUCGUAAGACUUGUAGAAAAAGAUUAAUUGUUAUGGAAGCAAAGACAGAAAAUAAACAUGCAAUGUAUUUGAUUCAAUUGACGAAAAAGACUAUGGAUGAAUGGAGUUGUUGGGGGUUUACAAUUUAAUCUUAUCCGCUCUACU